CGACGAGUGGCGAACGGGUGAGUAAUACAUCGGAACGUGUCCGCUCGUGGGGGACAACCAGCCGAAAGGUUGGCUAAUACCGCAUGAGUUCUACGGAAGAAAGAGGGGGACCCGCAAGGGCCUCUCGCGAGCGGAGCGGCCGAUGACUGAUUAGCCGGUUGGUGAGGUAACGGCUCACCAAAGCAACGAUCAGUAGCUGGUCUGAGAGGACGACCAGCCACACUGGGACUGAGACACGGCCCAGACUCCUACGGGAGGCAGCAGUGGGGAAUUUUGGACAAUGGGCGCAAGCCUGAUCCAGCUAUUCCGCGUGUGGGAUGAAGGCCCUCGGGUUGUAAACCACUUUUGUAGAGAACGAAAAGACACCUUCGAAUAAAGGGUGUUGCUGACGGUACUCUAAGAAUAAGCACCGGCUAACUACGUGCCAGCAGCCGCGGUAAUACGUAGGGUGCGAGCGUUAAUCGGAAUUACUGGGCGUAAAGGGUGCGCAGGCGGUUGAGUAAGACAGAUGUGAAAUCCCCGAGCUUAACUCGGGAAUGGCAUAUGUGACUGCUCGACUAGAGUGUGUCAGAGGGAGGUGGAAUUCCACGUGUAGCAGUGAAAUGCGUAGAUAUGUGGAAGAACACCGAUGGCGAAGGCAGCCUCCUGGGACAUAACUGACGCUCAGGCACGAAAGCGUGGGGAGCAAACAGGAUUAGAUACCCUGGUAGUCCACGCCCUAAACGAUGUUAACUAGUUGUUGGGAAGUAAUAUUCUCAGUAACGCAGCCAACGCGAGAAGUUAACCGCCUGGGAAGUACGGUCGCAAGACUAAAACUCAAAGGAAUUGACGGGGACCCGCACAAGCGGUGGAUGAUGUGGAUUAAUUCGAUGCAACGCGAAAAACCUUACCUACCCUUGACAUGUCAGGAAGCUCUUGUAAUGAGAGUGUGCCCGCAAGGGAGCCUGAACACAGGUGCUGCAUGGCUGUCGUCAGCUCGUGUCGUG
Molecule: ribosomal RNA, 986 nt
Filed under: human gut metagenome
Description: bacterial SSU rRNA
Rfam family: Bacterial small subunit ribosomal RNA
Source: RNAcentral